GGAAGGGCACCACCAGGUGUGGAGCCUGCGGCUUAAUUUGACUCAACACGGGGAAACUCACCAGGUCCAGACACAAUAAGGAUUGACAGAUUGAUAGCUCUUUCUUGAUCUUGUGGUUGGUGGUGCAUGGCCGUUCUUAGUUGGUGGAGUGAUUUGUCUGGUUAAUUCCGAUAACGAACGAGACCUUAACCUGCUAAAUAGCCCGGCUGGCUUUGGCUGGUCGCUGGCUUCUUAGAGGGACUAUCGGCGUUUAGCCGAUGGAAGUUUGAGGCAAUAACAGGUCUGUGAUGCCCUUAGAUGUUCUGGGCCGCACGCGCGCUACACUGACAAAGCCAGCGAGUUCAUCACCUUGGCUGGAAAGCCUGGGUAAUCUUGUGAAACUUUGUCGUGAUGGGGAUAGAGCAUUGCAAUUAUUGCUCUUCAACGAGGAAUACCUAGUAGGCGUGAGUCAUCAGCUCGCGUCGAUUACGUCCCUGCCCUUUGUACACACCGCCCGUCGCUACUACCGAUUGAGCGGCUUAGUGAGGUCUUCGGAUUAGCCUUCGGAAGCUGGAAACGGCAUCUGGAGGCCGAAAAGUUGAACGAACUUGGUCGCUUAGAGGAAGUAAAAGUCGUAACAAGGUUUCCGUAGGUGAACCUGCGGAAGGAUCAUUAGUGAAUCCGGGCAGAGAUGCCCUUCACAAUUUUCUAACACUUGUGCACUGUCUCAUAUAACGCUGUUGAAGUACAUGGAAUGUCACAUUAGUGAUAAUAAAAAUUAUAACUUUCAGCAACGGAUCUCUAGGCUCUCGCAUCGAUGAAGAACGCAGCGAAAUGCGAUACGUAAUGUGAAUUGCAGAAUUGAGUGAAUCAUCGAAUCUUUGAACGCAUCUUGCGCUCCUUGGUAUUCCGAGGAGCAUGUCUGCUUGAGUGUCAUGAAAUUCUCGACCGCCCCGAGGGCUUUUCUUUGCUCCUGGGGAUAAGGUACGGACUGUGGCCGUAGUGCUCUCUCUCCCGCACGCGAGAUGUUGAGGGCUCGGCUUAAUGAGAUGAAGGCUGACCUAAUCAUUUUGGGGCCGGUUGACUCGAUAUUGUACAUCACACUUUGUCGGGGCGCCGUCUCUCAAGUGUCGGCCUCCCCUUGUUUUUCAAAGGGGUACCAAAAUUACCAUUGAUAUCUCGACCUCAAGUCAGGCAGGACUACCCGCUGAACUUAA
RNAcentral lists this ribosomal RNA (1196 nucleotides) under uncultured fungus. RNAcentral's name for it is "bacterial SSU rRNA". The stretch from base 1 to 654 matches the Rfam family "Eukaryotic small subunit ribosomal RNA", at positions 1158 to 1831 of the family's 1831-position model. The record is from RNAcentral. Lineage: Eukaryota; Fungi.